Molecule: ribosomal RNA, 253 nt
Filed under: uncultured bacterium
Lineage: Bacteria
Description: partial 16S ribosomal RNA
Rfam family: Bacterial small subunit ribosomal RNA
Source: RNAcentral
UACGGAGGGUGCAAGCGUUGCUCGGAAUUAUUGGGCGUAAAGGGUAGGUAGGUGGUCUCAUUUGUCUGGGGUGAAAUCCUUGAGCUUAACUCAAGAAGUGCCUCAGAAACGGUGAGACUAGAGUUCUGGAGAGGGUCGUGGAAUUCCCGGUGUAGCGGUGAAAUGCGUAGAUAUCAGGAGGAACACCGGUGGUGUAGACGGCUUUCUGGACCGUAACUGACGCUGAGACACGAAAGCGUGGGUAGCAAACAGG